RNAcentral lists this ribosomal RNA (497 nucleotides) under uncultured bacterium. RNAcentral describes it as "partial 16S ribosomal RNA". It matches the Rfam family "Bacterial small subunit ribosomal RNA", at positions 28 to 507 of the family's 1533-position model. The record is from RNAcentral.
GAUGAACGCUGGCGGCGUGCCUAAUACAUGCAAGUCGAGCGAACAGAUGAGGAGCUUGCUCCUCUGACGUUAGCGGCGGACGGGUGAGUAACACGUGGAUAACCUACCUAUAAGACUGGGAUAACUUCGGGAAACCGGAGCUAAUACCGGAUAAUAUAUUGAACCGCAUGGUUCAAUAGUGAAAGACGGUUUUGCUGUCACUUAUAGAUGGAUCCGCGCCGCAUUUGCUAGUUGGUAAGGUAACGGCUUACCAAGGCAACGAUGCGUAGCCGACCUGAGAGGGUGGUCGGCCACCCUGGAACUGAGACACGGUCCAGGCUCCUACGGGAGGCAGCAGUAGGGAAUCUUCCGCAGUGGGCGAAAGCCUGACGGAACAACGCCGCGUGAGUGAUGAAGGUCUUCGGAUCGUAAAGCUCUGUUAUUAGGGAAGAACAAAUGUGUAAGUAACUAUGCACGUCUUGACGGUACCUAAUCAGAAAGCCACGGCUAACUACGUG